RNAcentral lists this transfer RNA (72 nucleotides) under Greenwayodendron suaveolens. RNAcentral describes it as "tRNA-Ile". Lineage: Eukaryota; Viridiplantae; Streptophyta; Magnoliopsida; Magnoliales; Annonaceae. The record is from RNAcentral.
CAAAGAUUUUCAUUAGUAGAUCCAAAGACAAUGUCAUGGGCGAGGUCUCUGGUUCAAGUCCAGGAUGGCCCA